Molecule: small RNA, 19 nt
Filed under: Arabidopsis thaliana (thale cress)
Lineage: Eukaryota; Viridiplantae; Streptophyta; Magnoliopsida; Brassicales; Brassicaceae
Description: ATSL123190
Source: RNAcentral
AAAAAAAAAGCAAAAAAAA